Small nucleolar RNA from Solea solea (common sole), 84 nucleotides. RefSeq annotates it as small nucleolar RNA snR60/Z15/Z230/Z193/J17. The transcript has a single exon. NCBI's taxonomy places the organism in Eukaryota, Metazoa, Chordata, Actinopteri, Pleuronectiformes, Soleidae. The record is from RefSeq and is a predicted model, not a curated record.
UCUGACACAAUGAUGAUCCCAUAGUUCAACAGAUUAACAAUGACGAAGUAGCGUUUGUCUUUCGCUCCUAACUGACAUGUCAGC